Molecule: ribosomal RNA, 292 nt
Filed under: uncultured bacterium
Lineage: Bacteria
Description: partial 16S ribosomal RNA
Rfam family: Bacterial small subunit ribosomal RNA
Source: RNAcentral
GUGCCAGCAGCCGCGGUAAUACGGAGGGUGCAAGCGUUGUUCGGAAUUAUUGGGCGUAAAGCGCGUGUAGGCGGUUUGUUAAGUCUGGUGUGAAAGCCCUGGGCUCAACCUGGGAAGUGCAUUGGAUACUGGCAAACUUGAGUACGGGAGAGGAUAGUGGAAUUUCGAGUGUAGGGGUGAAAUCCGUAGAUAUUCGAAGGAACACCGGUGGCGAAGGCGGCUAUCUGGACCGAUACUGACGCUGAGACGCGAAAGCGUGGGGAGCAAACAGGAUUAGAAACCCCCGUAGUCC